CAUUGGUGUACACUUUGACCUGUUCCAGAUGUCCGCCGCCCCGUCUGUGGCGGAUUUGUAUGACCAGAAGACAGGCAUGUAUACCACAGCCGUGGGCUCCUACAGGGCGUGGUCUAUUGACGUUGAUCUCGGACCGCCCUGUCCCUCAACACCCGUCCCCUUGGAGGAUGUUCAUGUUUUAAACUACUAUGACGCGCUUCAGUAUUCCUUAUACGAGAACAAUUUUCCGGAAACGGUCGACAGGACCGACACACCGCGGAGAGAAUUCAAGAGCGAUGACGUCACCAUCGCCUUGCUAUCGUCACCAGUAGAAUGCUUUGCAAUUUUACUGGCAGGAGGGCAAAUAUGCCCACGUGAUAUGCUGCUUGUGAUGUCAUCAUCAUGGGUGACAAAGGUCAGGUCUACGAAAAAUCCAGAAUUGUUUUCUCUUUACGUCCAUAAGGCGAUAACCAUGGACGUUGCAGGACAAUCGUUCCUGGACACGUUCAAUCCACCUCGUCGGGUAACGUAUUUCCUAAAUUACUUCACGCGCGCGUGCACGGAUGGUCAAAGAUCAGAUGGGGAGACGCUUGAGUCCGGUCUAGACUGCCCAAUGUCCAGUUCUCUUAAUUUGGUCAAAAACGUGGACGACAAAGUGUGGACUCGGACACUAUUGGCCAACGUCGAUGCUGACUACCCAGAAACGCUAGCCUUCACCUACAAAUGUCGAAUGAAUUAUGACGUAGCUUCCGGAUCGGAUAUUACUGUCAUCAAGCUAGACACAAAAACCGGAACGUCGAACCAGAUACACGAACAGGUUCAGAGAUUUCUUAACACGGCAAAUGUUCUACUGAGACAUAAGGUUGUGGUUAAACCUUCUGGAGUUAUUUGGCAUGGGAGUCUUGGUGUGACGUAUCAUGCUCGAAGUGACGUCAUUGGCAUUGUUGAGGCUGUCGUUCAUCUCCUGAAGGACAUGGAACCAGAAAACGGCAUCCUCGUGGAGACGUUCUACGCUCCGCCCAUUCAGAAUUACAAACAUUUCGCUGAGCUCUCGUUCCGGUUGAGGUCGACGGUGUGUAGAGGAUUCGGUGACCGUCCGAUAACAACUACCCUUAUAUGUGGUGUGGGACCGAGGGACAAGCCUAUCAAUGGCGAUAACACGAUCCCUCAAACGUUUGACACGACGCUGCGCUCAUGUGGAGUUACAAACGCCGAGGAGAGAAAGCGUCUUCGUGACAGGACUUCAAAAAUAUCAGAGGAUCUUCUCGGAGAGAUGAUUAAAAUAGAAAAGGAAAUGACGUCACUAGAACGUGGAGGUGUUGGGGGUCAAACAGAUAUUGUGGGACUAGAUUUCGUUCUCGGAGAGAAAGGCGGUAUUUUGACCCCGAUUGCCAUAGAGGUCAACAGUCACGACUGCACAAUUAACUGUCAGCUGUUCGAAUCAAUGAACCAUGAAACCCAAGGAUGUUCAGUUGGCCCCCUCGUGGAAAAUAUGGCGCAUCGAUCCCAGCGCCACAUAAUGCAGGGGAAGACAAUCCUUGUCAUUGGUGCGGGUGGCUUCAGUAAACGUUUUAUCUGGAAAGCAGCGCGGGAUUACGGAAUCAAGGUUUUUCUCGUGAACGAUGUUCCAGAUUCCUUUGUGUCCAGGGACGUGGACAAAUUCAUUCAAUAUGAUUUCUCCGACCAUAUGCAGGACGACCGGCACGCAAGAAAUAUCAUCCAACUUGUUUCGUCCGACAUUGACGUCGUCGACGGAUGCUGUACAUUCUGGGAAGACUGUGGCCCCCUUGCGGCCAAUAUUUGCGACAAAAUGCAUUACAGUGGUGCCAGUCUACAGGGGGCGCUGAUCGCCAAAAAGAAGAGUUCCACUCAGCAGUUAUUAAGGCAGCGAACAGCUGAUAUUCCACACUUCCCUCGAACGUAUUUGUAUACAGGAAGAUCAGCUGCUAUACGAACAUCCGAGGAAAUUGACACGGCCGCAACGCAUGUUAGAUUCCCUGCCGUCCUGAAACUUGAAUACGGUUCCAGUGCCAUAGGGGUCAAGCUUGUCAAUGACGAAGAAGAGUGCCGAAUCGAGUACGAAAAAAUCCGAAGUUGUCUUCGGCAGGAGUCGGAUCAUCCCGGCAUAGGUCUAGGAUACGGAAAUGACAUGAUGCUGAUGGAGUACUACGAAGGAACAGAACACGACAUCGAUAUCAUCAUCUACAAACGACGACUCAUCGCCGCUUUUAUUUCCGAUAAUGGCCCAACUAGACAAGGAAAUUUUACAGAAACAGCAGCCUCUAUGCCGACAUGCCUCCCACCGGACAAAUCUGGACAGCUGACAACAGCGGCAUACCAAUGUUGUACAGAAGUCGGACUCACAAACGGUGUUUUUAACGUCGAAAUGAUUAUGACGCCAACAGGUCCAAAACUGUUGGAGAUAAAUGCCCGGAUGGGUGGGUUCUACCUCAGAGAUUGGAUCAAAGCUUGCUAUGAUGUUGAUUUACUUCUCUGCUCUUUCAUGAUCGCGGCCGGCGUUAAGCCAAUCUUGCCUCGAACCAUUACGCCUCGUUGCCAUAUCAUGGGAGUUAUGUGCGUUCCCUCGGCCCACAGGGAGACACUGUCCCGUGUCGAUAUCACGAACAAAAUUUACAGUCUGCACGAAUCUCACAAAGUUCGUUACAAUGAGUUGGACGCAGAGGAAAGUUUAGACGCAGACGAAGAUGUUGAAGAACCUUUCUCUAAUUUCGCCGUGGUGGCCGAUGAUUUGGAAACGGCAAAGUCUGAACUGAUCAGAUUAUGUUCAGAACUUGAAAUAAACAAUUCGUCUUACGACGUUCCGGCUUAUGUUUCCCAAUUCCAUCCGAACACCGACGAAUACAUGUUAUGUUAAAACUCGCAAGGGGACCAAAAAAAACCCCGAAAAAUAAACUAUUAAGUUGUGACUCUUAAUAUCUCUUGACAAACUAUUGUUAAAGAGAAAAUUCUAUCGACAGAUGACAUUUUAUUGUCUUCGCGAAUAACACGGUAACAAUACUUUCAUUCGAUAACGGCAGGUGCCCCGAUUGUACGGGUUCAGUCUACAUAUACAAAAUAUACCUUUCAGAUAUAUGUGAUAGAAGACAACAAAACAAAUCUCUUAUCUGUAGAAUGUUUUCAUUUUAAACGCAUUUUUAACAAAAUACUAGUAUAAACACAUUAUACACAACGAUAAUCAUUAUCGGUAGACACUUUAUACCUCUUAAGAGCAGUGCUUUCUAACCAACGAGAUGGCGACCGUGAAAAAUUCCGAAAGUCUUUAUUAAUCUGAAUCUCUGGAAAUUCUGUGUAAUUAUUGUUUGUCAGAUUAAGGAGAACAUCCUUAAACAUCGGAUCAAGUGCGACACGUUAACUGUUUAGGAAACCAUCAUCAUAUGGCGAAGACGUUAUAUAUACAGCGACCAAUUAAUCAAGCAUUAACUACCUCUGUCUGUAACAACGGGUCUGUCCUAAUAAGAAGGUUGGCAAACCAGUGGUACAGUAAAUGUAUAUAUAUCAAAAAUUAUUAUAAUCUAUAGCAGUUAUAAAGAAGUGGCGUCCCAUAUAUUAGUAAAUAUAAAUCGGUGGUUUUAGAAACAGUGGUAGCUAUAGGGAGGUUUCCUUUAAAAGUGGUAACUGCGUAUAGACACGUGACCUUUGACAGUGGUAGCUAUAAAAAGGUGACCACCCAAACAGUGGUAGUUAUCCAUUGCAGAUAAGUGGACUCCCGAACAGUUAUAGAAAUAAUAAGGUGGCCUUAAAACAAUGGUAGAUAUAUAUAGAUGGCCUCCCAAAUAGUGGUAGAUAUAGAUAGGUGGCCUCUAAAACACUGGUAUAUGUAGAUAUGUGGCUUCAAAAAUAGUGGUAGCUAUACAAAAACGGUGGCCUCUCAAACAGUGGUAGCUAUGUAUAGGUGGCCUCCCAAACAAUGGUAGAUAAAGAUAGUGGCCUCUCAAACAGUGGUAGCUAUGAAUGGGUGGCCUCGCUAACAGUGGUAGCUAUGGAUGGGUGGCCUCGCUAACAGGGGUAGCUAUGGAUAGGUGGCCUUCCAAACAGUGGUAGAUAUAGAUAGGUGGCCUCCCAAACAGUUGUAGAUAUAGAUAGGUGGCCUCGAAAACAGUUGUAGAUAUAGAUAGGUGGACUCUCAAACAGUGGUAGAUAUAGAUAGGUGGCCGCCAAAACAGUUGUAGAUAUAGAUAGGUGGCAUCCCAAACAGUGGUAGAUAUAGAUAGGUGGACUCUCAAACAGUUGUGGAUAUAGAUAUGUGGCAUCCCAAACAGUUGUAGAUAUAGAUAGGUGGACUCUCAAACAGUUGUGGAUAUAGAUAUGUGGCAUCCCAAACAGUUGUGGA
RNAcentral lists this unclassified non-coding RNA (4330 nucleotides) under Mizuhopecten yessoensis (Yesso scallop). RNAcentral's name for it is "carnosine synthase 1-like, transcript variant X2". The record is from RNAcentral. Lineage: Eukaryota; Metazoa; Mollusca; Bivalvia; Pectinida; Pectinidae.